Molecule: ribosomal RNA, 512 nt
Filed under: uncultured bacterium
Lineage: Bacteria
Description: bacterial SSU rRNA
Rfam family: Bacterial small subunit ribosomal RNA
Source: RNAcentral
GAUCAUGGCUCAGGAUGAACGCUAGCGACAGGCUUAACACAUGCAAGUCGAGGGGCAGCAUAAAAGUAGCAAUACGUUGGUGGCGACCGGCGCACGGGUGAGUAACGCGUAUGCAACCUACCUAUCAGAGGGGAAUAACCCGGCGAAAGUCGGACUAAUACCGCAUAAAACAGGGGCACCGCAUGGUGAUAUUUGUUAAAGAAAUUCGCUGAUAGAUGGGCAUGCGUUCCAUUAGGUAGUUGGUGAGGUAACGGCUCACCAAGCCGACGAUGGAUAGGGAACUGAGAGGUUGGUCCCCCACACUGGUACUGAGACACGGACCAGACUCCUACGGGAGGCAGCAGUGAGGAAUAUUGGUCAAUGGGCGAGAGCCUGAACCAGCCAAGUCGCGUGAAGGAAGAAGGAUCUAUGGUUACGUAAACUUCUUUUGCGAGGGGAAUAAAGUGCAGGACGUGUCCUGUUUUGUAUGUACCCUGAGAAUAAGGAUCGGCUAACUCCGUGCCAGCCGCGGC